Molecule: microRNA precursor, 77 nt
Filed under: Carlito syrichta (Philippine tarsier)
Lineage: Eukaryota; Metazoa; Chordata; Mammalia; Primates; Tarsiidae
Description: microRNA 301b (ENSTSYG00000025936.1)
Rfam family: mir-301 microRNA precursor family
Source: RNAcentral
GCCGCAGGUGCUCUGACUAGGUUGCACUACUGUGCUCUGAGAAGCAGUGCAAUGAUAUUGUCAAAGCAUCUGGGACC